RNAcentral lists this ribosomal RNA (448 nucleotides) under uncultured bacterium. RNAcentral describes it as "bacterial SSU rRNA". It matches the Rfam family "Bacterial small subunit ribosomal RNA", at positions 330 to 794 of the family's 1533-position model. The record is from RNAcentral.
GCCAGACUCCUACGGGAGGCAGCAGUGGGGAAUAUUGCACAAUGGGGGAAACCCUGAUGCAGCAACGCCGCGUGAGUGAAGAAGUAUUUCGGUAUGUAAAGCUCUCUCAGCAGGGAAGAAGAAAGACGGUACCUGACUAAGAAGCCCCGGCUAACUACGUGCCAGCAGCCGCGGUAAUACGUAGGGGGCAAGCGUUAUCCGGAUUUACUGGGUGUAAAGGGAGCGUAGACGGCUGUGCAAGUCUGAAGUGAAAGGCGGGGGCCCAACCCCUGGACUGCUUUGGGAACUGUACGGCUGGAGUGCAGGAGAGGUAAGUGGAAUUCCUAGUGUAGCGGUGAAAUGCGUAGAUAUUAGGAGGAACACCAGUGGCGAAGGCGGCUUACUGGACUGUAACUGACGUUGAGGCUCGAAAGCGUGGGGAGCAAACGGGAUUAGAUACCCCAGUAGA